GGAAUUUUCCGCAAUGGGCGAAAGCCUGACGGAGCAACGCCGCGUGAGGGAUGAAGGCCUCUGGGCUGUAGACCUCUUUUAUCAAGGAAGAUCUGACGGUACUUGAUGAAUAAGCCACGGCCAAUUCCGUGCCAGCAGCCGCGGUAAUACGGGAGUGGCAAGCGUUAUCCGGAAUUAUUGGGCGUAAAGCGUCCGCAGGCGGUCUGUCAAGUCUGCUGUUAAAGCGUGGGGCUUAACUCCAUUUCGGCAGUGGAAACUGACAGACUAGAGUAUGGUAGGGGCAGAGGGAAUUCCCGGUGUAGCGGUGAAAUGCGUAGAUAUCGGGAAGAACACCAGUGGCGAAGGCGCUCUGCUGGGCCAUAACUGACGCUCAUGGACGAAAGCCAGGGGAGCGAAAGGGAUUAGAUACCCCAGUAGUC
Molecule: ribosomal RNA, 419 nt
Filed under: uncultured cyanobacterium
Lineage: Bacteria; Bacillati; Cyanobacteriota
Description: bacterial SSU rRNA
Rfam family: Bacterial small subunit ribosomal RNA
Source: RNAcentral